RNAcentral lists this ribosomal RNA (383 nucleotides) under uncultured Pseudonocardia sp. RNAcentral's name for it is "bacterial SSU rRNA". It matches the Rfam family "Bacterial small subunit ribosomal RNA", at positions 395 to 785 of the family's 1533-position model. The record is from RNAcentral. Lineage: Bacteria; Bacillati; Actinomycetota; Actinomycetes; Pseudonocardiales; Pseudonocardiaceae.
CGCCGCGUGGGGGAUGACGGCCUUCGGGUUGUAAACCUCUUUCGGCCUUGACGAAGCCUUUCGGGGUGACGGUAGGGGUAGAAGAAGCACCGGCCAACUACGUGCCAGCAGCCGCGGUAAUACGUAGGGUGCGAGCGUUGUCCGGAAUUAUUGGGCGUAAAGAGCUCGUAGGCGGUCUGUCGCGUCGGUCGUGAAAACUUGGGGCUUAACCCUGAGCUUGCGGUCGAUACGGGCAUGACUGGAGUUCGGCAGGGGAGACUGGAAUUCCUGGUGUAGCGGUGAAAUGCGCAGAUAUCAGGAGGAACACCGGUGGCGAAGGCGGGUCUCUGGGCCGAUACUGACGCUGAGGAGCGAAAGCGUGGGGAGCAAACAGGAUUAGAUAC